This is a long non-coding RNA of Daphnia pulex (common water flea), 503 nucleotides long. RefSeq lists it as uncharacterized. The record is from RefSeq and is a predicted model, not a curated record. The transcript has 4 exons. NCBI's taxonomy places the organism in Eukaryota, Metazoa, Arthropoda, Branchiopoda, Diplostraca, Daphniidae.
GCAAUCCAGUCUGCUGUUGAUCUUGUAGAUGGUUAUGAUGGACAAACGAAUCAGGAUCUGAUCACUUUUAGUGGAAUUGAAUAAAGUUAAAUGUUGGGUUUUGAUUGUGAGACAAGUCUUGAGCUAUCGGAUGCUAUUAAAGAAGUAAAAGCAGUAAAAUCUCGGUCUCUGGUUAAAGCAUGGAGUUGUGUGUCAAGAAUUGCAAUGUCAGUGGGUUUCCAAAUUUGAUGACGUUUGUGCUCUUCACUUCUCUUCUUCUUCACUUCUUGCUGAAAUGUCUUCCCGAGUAAGCAAUAAGGAAUUUCAGGAACUAUUUUGUCAUAGCAGAAACUGAAAAGGUCCACACAUUUCUGAAUCCUGAGAAAGACAGCCUGUCUUACUCAUAGGAAUCUGUGUCUGUGUUCUGUGGUGUUCUGAAGAAACUGCUCCUUCUCACCUCUCCAAUGAAAGAUAUUUCAUUUAGCCUGCAUCAGCUCUACAAUUGGCAGACCAGUUAAUUGUCU